AGAUUUCUGCCUUGUUCGAUGAAGUGUGAUUUUAUAAUCCAACACAUUAUAUAAGGGAUUCAGUCUCCGUCAGCGGAUUGCAGACCUCCCGCCGCAUUAGAUGUGCGGAGUAACGGACGCAGGGAGCGUGAACCUGUCGGGCUGUUGCCCACCUGCCGAGUGCGGGUUUUAUGCUUCACAUGGCGGCAAGGCGGUUAUCUU
This 201-nucleotide non-coding RNA is filed under the name Oscillospiraceae bacterium. RNAcentral's name for it is "6S RNA". It matches the Rfam family "6S / SsrS RNA". Rfam says of the family: E. coli 6S RNA was the first non coding RNA to be sequenced, but its function was unknown until recently. It consists of 184 nucleotides that fold into an extended hairpin structure with a large single-stranded internal bulge. The record is from RNAcentral. Lineage: Bacteria; Bacillati; Bacillota; Clostridia; Eubacteriales; Oscillospiraceae.